UGCCGGAUCGUCUAACGGUAGGACAGGAGCCUUUGAAGCUUCUAAUUUUGGUUCGAUUCCAAGUCCGGCAACAA
Molecule: transfer RNA, 74 nt
Filed under: Candidatus Taylorbacteria bacterium CG10_big_fil_rev_8_21_14_0_10_41_48
Lineage: Bacteria; Candidatus Tayloriibacteriota
Description: tRNA-Gln
Rfam family: tRNA
About the family: Transfer RNA (tRNA) molecules are approximately 80 nucleotides in length. Their secondary structure includes four short double-helical elements and three loops (D, anti-codon, and T loops).
Source: RNAcentral